Small nucleolar RNA from Gopherus flavomarginatus (Mexican gopher tortoise), 137 nucleotides. RefSeq annotates it as small nucleolar RNA SNORA5. The record is from RefSeq and is a predicted model, not a curated record. The transcript has a single exon. NCBI's taxonomy places the organism in Eukaryota, Metazoa, Chordata, Testudines, Testudinidae.
UGCAGCCCUGUCAAAUUCAGUACUCACCUCUGCCCUGGUGGGUCUGCCCCGGUCGGCUGCCACAGCAACAUCUGUAGUUCAUGGGCCCCGCACCUCUACCGCUGGGUGCUGGGGAUAAAAAUAUGCUACAGCCACCC